This is a small nucleolar RNA of Psammomys obesus (fat sand rat), 135 nucleotides long. RefSeq annotates it as small nucleolar RNA SNORA70. Lineage: Eukaryota; Metazoa; Chordata; Mammalia; Rodentia; Muridae. The record is from RefSeq and is a predicted model, not a curated record. The transcript has a single exon.
CUGCAAUCAGCUAACCUGACCAUGUUUCUUUCCUGAUAGUGGUCCUGGAUGCAAUAGCAGCAAAUAGUGGCCUCCUUAGGAGUGCAUGCAGCCUGCUCUUUACAUGGCUUUCCCUUAGGGAUCUUGGAGACAGUU